Molecule: ribosomal RNA, 496 nt
Filed under: uncultured bacterium
Lineage: Bacteria
Description: partial 16S ribosomal RNA
Rfam family: Bacterial small subunit ribosomal RNA
Source: RNAcentral
GAUGAACGCUGGCGGCGUGCCUAAUACAUGCAAGUCGAGCGAACAGACGAGGAGCUUGCUCCGCUGACGUUAGCGGCGGACGGGUGAGUAACACGUGGAUAACCUACCUAUAAGACUGGGAUAACUUCGGGAAACCGGAGCUAAUACCGGAUAAUAUAUUGAACCGCAUGGUUCAAUAGUGAAAGACGGGUUUGCUGUCACUUAGCGAUGGAUCCGCGCGUCUUUAGUUAGUUGGUAAGGUAACGGCUUACCAAGGCAACGAUGCGUAGCCGACCUGAGAGGGGGAUCCGCGCCUCUGGACCUGAGCCGCGGCCCUGACUCUGACGCGCGGCCCCGGCUGGUACUCUUCCGCACUGUGCGAAAUCUUGCCCGAUCAACGCCGCCCGAGUGCUGAAGGUCCUCGGGUCGUAUAACGCUCUUAUUAUUGUAGACCAAAUGUGUUAGUAACGAAGCACGUCUUGCCGUUACCUAAGCAGAAAGCCCCGCCUACUUCCGU